This 340-nucleotide ribosomal RNA is filed under the name Drosophila malagassya. Its description in RNAcentral is "eukaryotic LSU rRNA". Lineage: Eukaryota; Metazoa; Arthropoda; Insecta; Diptera; Drosophilidae. The record is from RNAcentral.
GCCCGAUGAACCUGAAUAUCCGUUAUGGAAAAUUCAUCAUUAGAAUUGUAAUGUUUAAACAAUAUUAUGAUAAUAGUGUGCAUUUUUUCCAUAUAAGGACAUUGUAAUCUAUUAGCAUAACAAAAUUUAUCAUAAAAUAUGGCUUAUAGUUUAUUCAAAUUAUUAUGCUUGCAUUUUAACAUAGAAUAAAUGUCAUUAAUUUGAUAAAGUGCUGAUAGAUUUAUAUGACUACAGUGCGUUAAUUUUUCGGAAUUAUAUAAUGGCAUAAUUAUCAUUGAUUUUUGUGUUUAUUAUAUGCACUUGUACGAUUAACAAUGCGAAAGAUUCAGGAUACUUCGGG